GAGGUAUUAUUACCUUCAUAGGGAUGAGAGAAUGCUCAGCAGAAAGACUAGGAAAGGUAUCAGAGAAAGAGAAACAGGAUCUGAAGCCAGAUGCUCUCUGAUUUGUGCAGAUCCAGCCUAAUGCUCAAUUUUAUUCUUUCACUUCAGAAUUUAGCGGAGGGUCACAGUGUUGGUUUAUUAAUUUACAAAUAUUGAGUCAAUCACAAAUGCUAGAGAAUGCUGAGUCGAACCCAAACUGAUAUCAUCUUUGUCAGCAAAAUAUCAAGUGGACUGAUCAUGGGUGGGAGUCUAUGUUCCAAACCCUUUAGAAAUACUGAUCAACAGUUGGAAAUUUUCCUUAUGAAUUCAAUAAGAUUUUCCUUUGGCCUCAAGGAAAUCAUGAAGGAAACUAGAGAAAACAACUUGAGGUUGACUGAGUCCCCAGGGUUCUGCUACUGUUGGAUAGUAGUUAAGUAGAGUUAUCCAAGUUGAGCAGCAAGACAAAAGCCAAGGUGACCAGUGAUUGAAAGGAAGGUAAUCUUAGAGAAAAGGUACGCCAGGAAAGACUUCUCAUAUAAAGUGGGGACAGUAUUUCCACAGGCAGGGAAUGAGAAGAAAGGAAUGGGUGACUGUUGGAGAAGUCAAGUCCUGCUCUACACCUACCCAAGCUUUGGAGGAAAAGAAAAAAAGAGAAGAAAAAGGCUCAGAGUGAUGGCCAGAGCCACACAGUUCAUCCAUUCUAAGGCUGACAUUCAGAACCAGCUCUUCUGACUCCACAUUCUCUCUGUCAGGGCAUGAGAGUCAGCAGAUCCUCCUCAGCGGUAACUAUGGGCACUGCUCUACCAGGGGGCUCCUCCCUCCAACCACCCACUGACUUCAAUGGGAACCAUUGCCAUGAAUGCCUGAAUGUUUGACAAGAAAAUAACCAGAGUACUGUCAUCAGUAACAAGGUUUUUCCUCAUUAAAAAAUGUCCUCUUUCUAGUAAGAAGUUCUGGAGCCAUUCAGUGGCUCAAUUAUUUUUUCUACUCAGGCAAAGACUAC
Long non-coding RNA from Monodelphis domestica (gray short-tailed opossum), 1021 nucleotides. RefSeq lists it as uncharacterized. NCBI's taxonomy places the organism in Eukaryota, Metazoa, Chordata, Mammalia, Didelphimorphia, Didelphidae. The record is from RefSeq and is a predicted model, not a curated record.